CGAAGGCGCAGCUACACAUGCAGUCGAGCGCACCUUCGGGUGAGCGGCGGACGGGUUAGUAACGCGUGAGAAUAUGCCCCUCUCUGCGGAAUAGCCACUGGAAACGGUGAGUAAUACCGCAUACGCCCUUCGGGGGAAAGAUUUAUCGGAGAGGGAUUAGCCCGCGUUAGAUUAGGUAGUUGGUGGGGUAAUGGCCUACCAAGCCUACGAUCUAUAGCUGGUUUUAGAGGAUGAUCAGCAACACUGGGACUGAGACACGGCCCAGACUCCUACGGGAGGCAGCAGUGGGGAAUCUUAGACAAUGGGGGAAACCCUGAUCUAGCCAUGCCGCGUGAGUGAUGAAGGCCCCAGGGUCGUAAAGCUCUUUCGCCAGGGAUGAUAAUGACAGUACCUGGUAAAGAAACCCCGGCUAACUCCGUGCCAGCAGCCGCGGUAAUACGGAGGGGGUUAGCGUUGUUCGGAAUUACUGGGCGUAAAGCGCACGUAGGCGGACUAUUAAGUCAGAGGUGAAAUCCCAGGGCUCAACCCUGGAACUGCCUUUGAUACUGGUAGUCUUGAGUUCGAGAGAGGUGAGUGGAAUUCCGAGUGUAGAGGUGAAAUUCGUAGAUAUUCGGAGGAACACCAGUGGCGAAGGCGGCUCACUGGCUCGAUACUGACGCUGAGGUGCGAAAGUGUGGGGAGCAAACAGGAUUAGAUACCCUGGUAGUCCACACCGUAAACGAUGAAUGCCAGUCGUCGGGUAGUAUACUAUUCGGUGACACACCUAACGGAUUAAGCAUUCCGCCUGGGGAGUACGGUCGCAAGAUUAAAACUCAAAGGA
This 820-nucleotide ribosomal RNA is filed under the name uncultured Alphaproteobacteria bacterium. RNAcentral describes it as "bacterial SSU rRNA". It matches the Rfam family "Bacterial small subunit ribosomal RNA", at positions 41 to 908 of the family's 1533-position model. The record is from RNAcentral. Lineage: Bacteria; Pseudomonadati; Pseudomonadota; Alphaproteobacteria.